GCCCUUGGAUGAGCCCGCGGCCUAUCAGCUUGUUGGUGGGGUGAUGGCCUACCAAGGCGACGACGGGUAGCCGGCCUGAGAGGGCGACCGGCCACACUGGGACUGAGACACGGCCCAGACUCCUACGGGAGGCAGCAGUGGGGAAUAUUGCACAAUGGGCGCAAGCCUGAUGCAGCGACGCCGCGUGAGGGAUGACGGCCUUCGGGUUGUAAACCUCUUUCAGUGCCGACGAAGCCUUCGGGUGACGGCAGGUACAGAAGAAGCACCGGCCAACUACGUGCCAGCAGCCGCGGCCGAAGGGC
RNAcentral lists this ribosomal RNA (302 nucleotides) under uncultured Actinomyces sp. RNAcentral describes it as "bacterial SSU rRNA". It matches the Rfam family "Bacterial small subunit ribosomal RNA", at positions 217 to 533 of the family's 1533-position model. The record is from RNAcentral. Lineage: Bacteria; Bacillati; Actinomycetota; Actinomycetes; Actinomycetales; Actinomycetaceae.